Long non-coding RNA from Paramormyrops kingsleyae, 544 nucleotides. RefSeq lists it as uncharacterized. The record is from RefSeq and is a predicted model, not a curated record. Lineage: Eukaryota; Metazoa; Chordata; Actinopteri; Osteoglossiformes; Mormyridae.
GUUCAUGGCCCAAUGCUUUGAUGUUCACAGCACAUUAAAAAUAUCAGUCUCCAUGAAAAACUUUCACCUCAGUAUCUGUGUGACCGUCACACAGGGUGAGAAUUCCCCAUUCCUACAUGCCAGGUCACCGGCUGUCCGUUACGAAAGCCAGCGGGCACACACUUAAACCAACGGAACACUCCGGAGCCUUUUAACGGGGCUGGGUGUGUGACAGAGAGUUGCCCGAGCGUGGUGCACUGGACCGUUUCCGGAUGCCUUCGGUCGAAAAGCGGCUUUCAGGCCAAGCUUGAAAAGCUCCUUUGGUAAUGGCGGCUGUCUGAUAAACAGAACACCUGGAGGGAUUUUGGGGAGACUCCUCGUCUUUAUUCGAGAAGCCAAACGGAGGAUGAAGGAAACAUUUCGCAGGAAGUACAGCCACACCUCCUUCCCUCUCUGCCACCACGAUGGCUAUUGAUCUUCACUUUAUUUAGCCUCUGUCCUCAUCCAAGAUGGCCACCUUCCCCAUGAAAACGAAGACAGCAGUGCUACAGGGCCCAGAGGCCAG